GCGCGGACUCGCCCUCGGCUGAUCCGUCGGCGUCGACGUCGCCGGCGUCGGCUGUCUCCGCCGGCUCCGCGGGUUCGUCGCCCGCUUCGCGCGC
RNAcentral lists this transfer RNA (94 nucleotides) under Halocalculus aciditolerans. RNAcentral describes it as "tRNA-Val". The record is from RNAcentral. Lineage: Archaea; Methanobacteriati; Methanobacteriota; Halobacteria; Halobacteriales; Halobacteriaceae.